GCACAGAUGGUGUAACGGUAACACGACGGUGGUAAAACCGUUGUUCGAGGUUCAAAUCCUUGUCUCGUGCG
This 71-nucleotide transfer RNA is filed under the name Chlorogloea purpurea SAG 13.99. RNAcentral describes it as "tRNA-Tyr". It matches the Rfam family "tRNA". From Rfam's summary of the family: Transfer RNA (tRNA) molecules are approximately 80 nucleotides in length. Their secondary structure includes four short double-helical elements and three loops (D, anti-codon, and T loops). Lineage: Bacteria; Bacillati; Cyanobacteriota; Cyanophyceae; Chroococcales; Entophysalidaceae. The record is from RNAcentral.